Molecule: ribosomal RNA, 447 nt
Filed under: Triticum aestivum (bread wheat)
Lineage: Eukaryota; Viridiplantae; Streptophyta; Magnoliopsida; Poales; Poaceae
Description: partial small subunit ribosomal RNA
Source: RNAcentral
AUGGCCGCCCACGGCAAGCCCAAGCCCAAGCCGCCCGGCGCCCCCGCGCCACCGCCGCCCCCACCACCGCCGACGGCGGCAGAGGCGAAGAAGGGCUUCAUGCGCCGGAUGUUCCCCUUCCUCCUCGCCGUCAACGCCUUCGUCGGCGCCUACAUGCUCGUCAGGACCUACUACAAGGAUUCCCCGGCCAAGACCGCCGACUCUGCCGCUGCCACUGCAACGGCGUCGACCCCGUCUGCCACCGCCGAGUCCCCUGAGCCGCCGGUGGCAACGCCUGCCAAGGUGCUGCCGCCGAUCCCCGAGGACGAGCAGCGCCGGGUCUACAAGUGGAUGCUGGAGGAGAAGCGCAAGGUGAAGCCACGCGACGCCGCCGAGAAGAAGAGGCUCGACGACGACAAGGCCCUGCUCAAGCAGAUCAUCCGCGCCGACACCCUCCCGGUGCUCUGA